This 4084-nucleotide long non-coding RNA is filed under the name Triticum aestivum (bread wheat). Its description in RNAcentral is "long non-coding RNA (TAES_LNC023492)". The record is from RNAcentral. Lineage: Eukaryota; Viridiplantae; Streptophyta; Magnoliopsida; Poales; Poaceae.
GCCUAGCUCGGUCGGUUGCGCUUAGGGCCUACGGGCGCCGGAGCGGAGCCUCGCUGACGGCAACCUCGCAGAUGCAGCGCGCCGCCGCGUUGCUCUGCCGGUUCUUGGAAAUCCCCGGUAAACUCAAUCUAAACCUUCUCCGACCUCCCAAAUCUCGCCAAUUUUACUGAUUUUUUCAAGGACCCAGGCACCUAAGCAGACUUAUUGAAUCUUGAUCUAAUCGCGUCCUGUGAUUGCAACUGCAGCCUGAUCUGAUCUGCAUUUCCAAUAGCGUUACCGUGACUCUACAGAGUUGAUGGUUGGUAUCAGAAUGCUAGCCAGACCCAGAACCCUUUCUUUUGGUCUGAUUUCUGCUUGCUAGCAGACCAGCUUACCGAGACGGGCUAAGUGAUAGUGCGGAGUGGCAGCAGUGGGUAUCUGAUCUGCCACCUUAGAUGAUGUCGUUAGUUGAAUUCGCUAUCUAAGAAAAGCAGGAGGGGUUGUUGGAUCUGAUAAAAUAUGGUACUCCCUCCGUCCCAUAAUAUAAGAGCGUUUUGUUAAACGCUCUUAUAUUAUGGGACGGAGGGAGUACAAGUUUGCUGUACGUCAAUUGAGAUACGGCAAGGCACUGCUACCUUCAUGUGUAUCAUCCUGACCACGACUUGUCACAUGAUGAACAAAUGAUUUAUGAGGGGGUAUCCUUGAUUCCCAUGCGAUGCGAUUAGAGUGAAGUCUUGUUCCGGUCUCACACCAGGGUCUGCUACAAGUGCCCCUAAUGACACAGUUGGUGAUUCCUCCUUGAUUGUACAAGGCAUCGUGAUGUUGGGUGCACGCCAUAUAUGGAGAGGUUUAUGUUGACUAGUCUGAUCCCCUUGUUCAGUAUGCAUGUGCAACGUUUGACCAUGGAAUUUGUUUGGGUUUUUCCAGAUGAACUUCAGCGAAGACUGGAGAAGCGGCGGGCAAAUCAUUGGCAAUGGAACACUAUAUGCUCUUUUUAUCCUGGUCAGUUAUGAUGAGAAUCACAACUCCAUGCUUCAGUAAUCUUUCAAGGUACAUGUAAGCAUGUUUGUCUGUACAUUUGCUCCUCUGGUUGGUUUCCUCAGAACAUAAUCAGUCUCCUUGAUUCCCAUGUAAUUAGAGUGAAGUCUCCUUUCGGUCUAACACUAGGAUCUGCUAGAAUUUCCCCCAAUGUCACCCUUAGCGAUUCCUCCUUGAUUGAAACAUCAAUUGUAUGAUGUGUCGUGCUAAGUGGACACAAAGCAAAGUCUGUUAUGUCCAGUGGAUGCCCUUGCUGUAUGGCCUAUUGGUUUCUGUUAGCAUAUCUUCUCCCCUUGUCCAAUAUGCAACGCCAAAACUGAACAUUGAGAUUCUUUCUCAACACAUCUGCGUACAAAUUUGUUGCGACAAUUGAACCUUCCAUAUUCUGCAACACCUUGACGAAUUCAUCUGCUAUUUGUACUAGCCAUGGAUGUUCUGCACGGUCUACACUUCCGAAUGCCAGCUUCUUGAAAAGGUACCUCAACUCGUCGUCAGACAGAAGGCUUAGGAAAAUUGGUUUCACUGAUCCAAACCGGGCUAAUCUUUUAAGUUUACUUAUGAUGAUGAUCUUCCUUCCUCUGCCCAUUGUUAUGACAAAUGAGUGAAACCUUUUCCAGUCAUCGUCACUUACAUCAGAAGCAAACUCAAUAACUAUCAAGAUCAUCCCUUCCAUGGUCCUUCCAUGGUCAAGUAUUCUCAAAAGGUUGUCUCCAUUCAAGUGCAGUACAGAGGAGAAGCUCGAGCGAACCCUUUCGUCGCCGCACAUAUGAGCAACCAAAGAUUUCUUCCCCGUUGUGGCAUCACCUAUGAUCGGAAGAACUGCCAGAGUAUGAUCUCCAGGAGGGCCUUUACGCUGCAACAAGAAGCUCAAGAGCUUUUGCUUUUCAGCGUGUCGGGCAAACAUGAAGUUGUCGGUGUAAAGAUAAACAUCAUAUGGCCUACGAGACAUACGCUCAAAUCCACCCAGAAGCACAGCAAAUUCUGCCAUGUUAGCAACAGCAAUUUCUAACCUUUCCAAGGCACCAUGUGACUCGAGGCACGUGGCCAUAUCAUUUGUUAUUCGUGAGCGCUUGGCUAUAUAUAAGUUGUUCCUAGAUGAGUCGUUGAUUCUAACCUCAUCGAAGCCGGCACUGUCUUGGAGGGCAUGGUACCUUGAGUUGUCCAGCACACGGUAUCCUCGGUACAUGGCCUCUGAGAGCGUCUUAAGCUGCAUCAUCAUCCCGGAGUUGGUUAUAUAUCGCGCGUCUGCCUCCUCAACGAUGGUGCCAGCUCUCAUCAGGAGGUGCUGCAACCUCUCCACCGCCUUCUCCUCCUCUGACCAGGCAUGGCUGAAGGAGUUGUACUUGUUCAUCAGGAAGGAGAUGAACUGGCUCACGAGUUCACCUGCAACUGCAGAUAUGGCAGUCUCCAUGGCUGGGAUUGAUGAGGUAAGCUGCUGGUUGGUCUCUGGACAAAUUAAAUUUGGCCUCUGCCAAGUCUUGUGGAGAUUCUUGGCAAAAUAGAAAAGUCUCCAUGGAUGACUUGGACUGUGACUGUGGACGGGUGACACACGGAUACUUGUCUAAAUGUCCAAACAUGUGACAAGGACAACCGAACUGCCAAAGCAGCAUCAUUCUUUUACCAGUAUUUCUAAUAUUCACGGUAGGUCCAAAUUGAUUAUUAUUCCAUUGCAAAAUGUAUAUUUAAUUUAUUUGGAUUUGUCUACCAUUGGAUUCCUUUUUCCAUUUUACAUAUGCGGCAAUGGCAUCCCACAUGUGUAGUGUACUAUUGCAACGUUUGACCAUGGAAACUGUUUGAGUUUUCGUAGAUGAACUUCAGUGAAGAAGCAGCGCCACAGCUCAUUGACAAGGAAAUUGUACGCACCCUUUUAUCUCUGUGAAUGAUGAGAAUCACAACUCUAUAGCUUGGUUUCGGAGCACAUGUAACUAGUUUGUUCUACAUUUGCUCCUCUGGUAUCAUCAGUGUCCUUUGUGCCUAUUUUCGGAGCAGACGAACAAUUCCAGAAAAGAAAAUACACCUGCGCCACUAUAUUUACAUGCCGCUAGAUAAAUGUUGAAAAAAUAUUGAGCUCCAUGGGAUGUCAAAACAAGAGUUGAGCUCCACCUUGUACUUAAUGAUGGCACUCGUGCUCUGUCUCACUUAAUGCACAAGUGUGCGAUCAAACAGGGCAUGCCACUAACUCGUGGCUUCGUGUGGUUGUUUAUCACAAUUUUACCACAGUAGAAGUUUCAGAGACCAUGGUUAUGAUCAUAUUUGAGAACCAUGGUGGACUUUCUGAUGAUCCCCGUAUUUGCCUCGAACUAGUCAGGUGGCAUUAAUACAACAGCAGGACUCUUGGCAAAAUAGAAAAGUCUCCAUGGAUGACUUUGACUGUGACUCUGGAUGGGUGACACACGGAUACUUGUCUAAAUGACCAAACAUUUGAUAAAGACAUGCCAACUGUCCGAGCAGUAUGAAAAUAUUGACUAGUAAAUCUAAUAUUCAUAGUAAGUAGAUUCAAAUUUACUAUUGUUCCAUAGCAAAAUGCAUGUACAUUUACUUAUAUUUGCAUUUGUCUUCUUGCCUUGGAACUCCUUUAAUCCUUUUACCUUUUACAUGGCAUCCAAUAUAUGCGCACUCUACUCUGGCAAAGGUUGACAGUGAAAGUUGUUUUGGGCUUUCUAGAUGAACUUUGGUGGAGAAGCAGCACCGCAACUCAUCGGCAAGGGACGAUAUGCGCCCUUUUAUCUUGGUCAGUGAUGAUGAGAAUCAUAGCUGAUAGCUCCAUGCUUCAGUAAUCUUUCAGGAGACACGCAACCUGUUUAUUUGUACAUUUGCUCCAUGCUUCAGUCUGUAAUCGAAAACUGUUGCAUCUUAAACAUCCUUCAUGGUUGUGGAUUCUUCAUGGUUCUGAUAGUAUGGUGCAAAACUGGUUUUGUUUCCUUUCAAAACUGGGAGUUGCUUUACCCUUGUAAUCACUAGAAUAUCCGUUCAAAACUAACUGGUAGCAUUUGCACAUUAUUUUUUUAGGCUUGUUAGAGCAAUUACAGAUGCACGAGACACUGAAAUUUGCACAUCUGUAUGCCAG